GCGUGACUACUGAAGAAUGGUA
Molecule: non-coding RNA, 22 nt
Filed under: Rattus norvegicus (Norway rat)
Lineage: Eukaryota; Metazoa; Chordata; Mammalia; Rodentia; Muridae
Source: RNAcentral